This 253-nucleotide ribosomal RNA is filed under the name uncultured bacterium. Its description in RNAcentral is "partial 16S ribosomal RNA". It matches the Rfam family "Bacterial small subunit ribosomal RNA", at positions 524 to 776 of the family's 1533-position model. The record is from RNAcentral.
UACGUAGGGUGCAAGCGUUGUCCGGAAUUAUUGGGCGUAAAGAGCUCGUAGGCGGUUUGUCGCGUCCGCUGUGAAAACUCGGGGCUUAACCCCGGGCCUGCAGUGGGUACGGGCAGACUAGAGUGCGGUAGGGGAGACUGGAAUUCCUGGUGUAGCGGUGAAAUGCGCAGAUAUCAGGAGGAACACCGGUGGCGAAGGCGGGUCUCUGGGCAACUACUGACGCUGAGGAGCGAAAGCGUGGGGAGCGAACAGG